UCAUAACGACUGCUUUACUCUUCGCAAUUCCCACAUAGGAGCUAUCUUCAUCGAUUUGGAAUGGCCAAGUGUCUCCAACACCAGAAGCAAUGAUUCCACUCUGCAAUCCCAUCGACACCUCUUCUCUACUAAAACCCCAACUUCUCCAUUUCUCUCAAUUUAUCAGUGGCACCACUACUCUCAAAAACAAACUGGCGUUCAUUUCUAAACCCUCAAUUAUUAAAUCCUUCCAUUUCUCUGAUUUAUUUGUUGUGGGACAGUGAAGAUGAGGAAAUUGAAGAGGAGGAUGGGUAUUUUUUGUAGUAAAUGUAGUUAGUUAGAGAUUGGCAUGCAAUUGAAGUGCUUUGCGGGACAUUUCAAUGUUUUUUUUUUCGGCAAAAAAGAAUCAUUCUUUGAGAAUGAUGAGAAUAGAUUGAAUUUCUAAUUUGUUAGUGGUGGUACUGUUACGGCUGUUUAAGGAAGUCAAGAAAACACUAUCGUUGUCUGCUUUAUUGUCCGAAUCUGUCUUCUUGAUAGAACUGUAUUCAUCAUCUAUAAAUGGAGGCUGAUGCUAAUGAUACCCAAUUUUGCAAAUCGGUUGUGUGCACUGCCUGCUGACAGAUCAGUGGAGCUCAUAUCUACUAUCUAGUAUGGUUUUGGUUAGGUGCAAUGCCAGCCCGAUUGGUGCACAAUUGAGGUUGGAUAAUUGGUUUCUAGAAAUUUGCAUUUGGUAUAAAUGUAACCUAAAAAGAAAGAGUUUUUAGUUUGUGAAAAACAACACGAUUGCUUGUGAGUGCUCUGAAUAAAGUUGAGCCAAUGAAUUGUUAAUGAGAUGCCUCUGGCUAACCUCAGAGCUGAAGUUUGAACAUUGAAAUGAUCAUGGAGUUUGGUUUUGAGGAGAAACGUGUUUGACCAGAUAUGGCUUAUCAACAAAAUGAAUUUAUGAUUGAGGGCCUACCUUGUUCUCAUAUGAAGGGUGUCUUUAACUUGUGAUUGAACAGGGUGAAAAGUACAUUUAGUUAUGUCAGGAUAAGCGGCGCGCAAUGAGACUCGUAAAGGAUGAAGCAAGGAGUAGAAUGAAUUAUUUAAUUUGGCACGCUUUGCCUAUACGAAAUUUUGAGAUCACUAUUGAUUGCCUCUUGAUUUUCUUGGAGGAAAGGCAUAAUUAUGUAAUUGCUGUGAUGCAAAUUCCUUGUUCUGUAUUUUCAUUUUCUGUUUCGUUUUUACAUUUAAAAGUAAAAUGAUUAUAUUUGUUGAGA
This is a long non-coding RNA of Hevea brasiliensis (rubber tree), 1238 nucleotides long. RefSeq lists it as uncharacterized. Lineage: Eukaryota; Viridiplantae; Streptophyta; Magnoliopsida; Malpighiales; Euphorbiaceae. The transcript is spliced from 2 exons. The record is from RefSeq and is a predicted model, not a curated record.